AUAACUUAAUAGUUAUACUUAAUUUCAAAAAAAAAAUUGAAAAUAUACUAAACCCGGCCCGGCUCCCUUCAACCCGUAAUCCGUAUGGUUUAAUUUUAAUGCGAACAAACCCGGUCCGUUAAGAAGUCGGUACUGCUCAAUUCGGUCCGGCCUGAACCGGAACCCGAGCGGAUAAAAAAAUCACGACCCGAACCGGACCGGAUGAACCGUUUGUCACCUUUUUAAGUCCGCCCAAUGUAAAUAUACAAGUACACGCUAAAAGUAGUAACAGUGAAGAAGCACAUGUUGUUACACUGUUACUGUCCAUGUGUUCCCUAAGUCUCUAACUCCUACCUCAAUUGGGCAACUUGUAAAUGAGGAAGGUUUGUACUCAUAAUCUUACAUGUGUCUUUUAACUAUGACCCACCCAUCUAGUCAAUUGUCCCUUUGAAAAGAACUCUGAUUUAACAAUAUUAUAACACCAAAAUAGGAAAGGUCCUCAAAUUUUGACCUUACAUUUGGCAGGUCACUAGACCUACUCAUCGACUAGAAUUUGUAUGGAUAAACUUAAUUUACACCAACAUGAAAAUGUAACUCUUCGUAACAUAUAUAUCUAAUGUGCUAAUUGAAAAUUAGAGUAAUAACUUGAUAUAUAUAUAUAUAUUUAUUUCAAAUAUAUUUGAUUAUGUAAAAUAUUGCAAGCGAUAUAUAACAUAUACUCUUUGAUUUGAUGUUAAUUUCUAUCCUAAUUUAAUCAGAGGCGGAUUCAUAAUUUGAGGCUUAUGAGUUCAUACAGUAAUUUCAAACUAAUAUGCAAUAAUAAAUUAGGUUCAUAGUUAAAUAUUUAUUAAUAUUUCAUAAAUUUUUUAAUAUAAAUACAAAGUGUACACAAUAGAUGGAUUCCGGAGAACCAGCAUACAAUGCUAUAUAGGUCCGUCCCUGACUUUAGCAACAAUUUGUUACUCCAUUAAUCUUAGAGAUCUAGUGACUAGAUCUGUCCGUGGAUUAAGAAUAUCACGUGGCCAAUGGCCAAAAUCUGACUUAUAUUUACUGAAGAUAUUACAUGUACUGCAUGCAGCUUGGUCAAAACUUCAGUACAAGCUUCAGUAAAAUACUGGGAUCCAUGCAUUAACUUCCAACCAGUGGAUCUAGUAAGAGUUAAAGUUUAAUGGAAACAUUAAAAUAAGAUUUUUUAAAUUUUUUUAGAAUUAAGUAAGAGCCUGAAGUACUUUUUGUUAAUACGCAAAUAGAAAUGAUAAAUGUAGAAGAAUGUAAACACAAUUUAGUAAAUGAUAAAUGUAGAAGAAUGUAAACACAUGUUAGUUAAAAAGUAAGACGGGAUAAAAUAUUUGAUAUGCUACGUUUUUAUAUUUCUAACAAAAUAUGGUCCAUUUUUUUUUCCUCCCCUCCAAUUCCGACAAAUAUUUAAAUGUGUUUAAAAUAUUUAAUAUUGGUGGCAAUCAUUUAUAGGUCCACAGUAUUAAAUAAUACUAUCGUCUCAUUGUGGUUUGCAUAUUGUAGCAUAACAAUAAUGCAGUCCGCAAUUGGAAGUAUUUCUAAUUCAAUCACUAUUAUAACUUCUUAGGAAUACAGUUUCUAACCCAUGCCCUCUUAAUUAUUUGCCCAGGGGGUAAAGUGAAUGGCAAUGACUUAUAUUGUCAUCAAACAAAUUUGCCAUGCGCAUCUAGAAAAAAUUAAAUGGAAUCUUUAUAUAAAUAGCCGACCAGAUUAACUAAUACCCUAAUUGUACACGCUUAUUACAUAUUUUACGCAAAGAUUAAUAUAUAUAUAUUAGACACUCGUCAGCUAUAUUUAGUUUAAGCUAUUUAGUGGAUGGCUACUUAUAUUAAUUCUUCAAAUUAAGUUGUGAAAGAAAGCUGCAAAAGCAGGUGAUGACAACCAUUUUCCUUGUUACUGUAUUAAGUAUUGAAAAAUAAGAGAUGAAUAGAAAAAUGCCAAGAGGGCCAAAAUUUAAUAAUAACAAGAAGACAUAUCGUUGGUGCACAUGAUGAAAUCAUUCAAACUAAAGCAUUGGAUUUUACUUAUUUUCUUGCUUUUAUUUUUCUCGUUCUCUUUUUCUUUUUGGAUCUGCAAGUACUACCAAUAAGAGACAAUAAUUCAAACUAGUAGCGAAAAUGCCAGCACAUUUCUCUGAUCAUAAUUUUUAAUGCUUUAAGAUCUUUUAGUUCACAGUACAUAGCAUGCAACUUAGGAACUACUUUUGCUAGAUACAAAAAUAAUCAAUUAUGACUAUGCUAUUUGUGCUACUGCUUUUUGAUAUAUAAAAGUUUAAUCUUUGUUCAGUUGCUUAAAAGUUUCUCUAUGGAAAGGCUACGCCUACUCAACUGCUAACAUAAUUGUAUAAAAAAUCUUAGUGGAACAAAUUAAAGUUUAGUUAAGUGAGAAUUUCUGUCCUUUUUUUUUCCUUAUGAUUUAUGCAAUCACCUCUUAUAAAAACAGAAAAAAUGGACAAAAUUUAGAAUCAUUUUUCCUUCCAUUAAAGACAUGAUUUUUGGUGACAGCCUGGAAGUUUUGAAGUACAGAAACAAACCAUUUUUUUUCUUUCUUUCAAGCUAUAAUUAUUGCUAUCUUUCCUUUUUCUUUUAUUUUAUUUUGGACAGGAAGGUCGGUUAUCUUUUCCUUGUUCUUGUUCUUUAUGGGUGCAUCAGUCUCGUGGAAUGACGUAAAACUUUCCAUCAAUCAAGCCCUAAAGUAGAAGAAUAAAAAAAGAAAAAGAAUCUUCCCAGAAAGAAGAGAAGCAUGUAAAGGACGCACCGAUGCAUAAAGCAUCCAACAAUCAUAUAGGAUUCAAGAAAGACCGCAUUGCAAAGAUAUAACGUAAGUAACAUAUUCUAAGUCAAAAAUUAUUGACUGCUUUCACGGUUCAACUCUAAUCCUAAGAACAAAAAGAUGAAGUAUAAUAAAAAAAAAAUAAUUACCG
Molecule: long non-coding RNA, 2920 nt
Filed under: Nicotiana benthamiana
Lineage: Eukaryota; Viridiplantae; Streptophyta; Magnoliopsida; Solanales; Solanaceae
Description: long non-coding RNA (NBEN_LNC014622)
Source: RNAcentral